GAUUAAAAAUCAAAAUGGUAAAUAUAGUAAUAGCAGUGAAUAAAUAAAGAAAUUAAAUAAAUUAUUGUCAGAGAAAUAUAUGGUAACAUAUUGUUAGUCUAAAUUUAAGGUAAGACCAAAAAAUAAUAAAAUAAAUGAAAGGGUCCAAACAACUUUUUAAAGUAAAUUUAUUAAAACUCAUUCCCUUUUAAUAGUAUUGAUAUGAUCUUUCAACGUUAUCCAUGAUGGUCCCCUUGUUUGAUUGAUUGAAACCUAGCAUUAGCUUUCAAAACUUCAUAUCGAAUAUACGUCUUUUGUUUAUUGGCAUCACGCGAGAGUAUUUAAAUGUAACACAAAAAGUCAUAACAUUAACAUCCGGAAACUAUUCAAUUUUUCAUGAAUCAUAUUCGUUUUAUCCAAGCAUUUGUUAUCCUUAUCUUAAUAAGCAUUUUUACAAACAAAAUAUAGGUUUUAAAUUACAAAAUUUCCGGACCAUAUUCUUCCCAUCUCUUAUAUACUAAAGCACAAGUCACCUUUCCAAUUAAAUUUUGACACAUUUCAAUUUUUUUUUAAAAAAAUCAGUUAAGCAAGAUAAUGAUCUAAAAAAUAAUAGCGUAUAACAAUUUUUCAAACACAAUCUACAACCCACGAUCUUUAUCAUUUCCCACUAUCUUUUGCUUUUCUAUAUUUUUCUAUAUUUUUAGAUUGGAUAAACAAAUAUCAGAGGAACUUCUCAUCUAUCUUAAACAGAGUAUGAAAGAUCUAUGAUCUUAAUGCAAAUUUGGGGUCGUAUGGAAUGUCCCGAGCCCGUGCUGAAAUUGAUCUGUAAGAAACAAAUAUCAAUAAAGCAUAUUUGAUAUUUCUCAGUGGAGCUAUCUUGUUUGGCAAAACAUCCUUCAACGAACCGGUUUACAGUUAGAAAGGUUCAAGAAAGAGUGGAUAUGGUGAAUCUGAAUUGGAGGAGACUUGACUCCAACAAAGACUUUAGGAAAAAAAGAAAGAAAGAGGACGAAAAUAGAAAGCAUACACAAAUGCAGAUGAAGACGUGGAACAUCUUUGAUAAAAGGUUUAAUGUUUCAGUCAGAUAUUAAGUAAUCAAUAGCGAGAGGGACACAAAGAGUUGAAGAUGACAAUGCCACAUAAAAGCUGAUUAAAUUUUAGGAUACACACAAAUAAAUAUUAGCAGGUAGACGUUUAUAUUACUGCAAUCUUUCCAAUACACAAUGUUUUCUUUUAGAUGUUUGAAAUAUUAAUACACAACACAAUGAUCAGAAUUUAUUUUUCAACUCUAUUGUAUUCUCUUAACUACCAUGAAUAAUAGGAAGAUCAAUGAUUUUAUAUA
This is a long non-coding RNA of Brassica rapa (field mustard), 1321 nucleotides long. RefSeq lists it as uncharacterized. NCBI's taxonomy places the organism in Eukaryota, Viridiplantae, Streptophyta, Magnoliopsida, Brassicales, Brassicaceae. The record is from RefSeq and is a predicted model, not a curated record.